RNAcentral lists this ribosomal RNA (491 nucleotides) under uncultured bacterium. RNAcentral's name for it is "bacterial SSU rRNA". It matches the Rfam family "Bacterial small subunit ribosomal RNA", at positions 501 to 987 of the family's 1533-position model. The record is from RNAcentral.
CUACGUGCCAGCAGCCGCGGUAAUACGUAGGGCGCGAGCGUUGUCCGGGAAUUAUUGGGCGUAAAGAGCUUGUAGGCGGUUUGUCGCGUCUGCUGUGAAAGGCCGGGGCUUAACCCCGUGUAUUGCAGUGGGUACGGGCAGACUAGAGUGCAGUAGGGGAGACUGGAACUCCUGGUGUAGCGGUGGAAUGCGCAGAUAUCAGGAAGAACACCGAUGGCGAAGGCAGGUCUCUGGGCUGUAACUGACGCUGAGAAGCGAAAGCAUGGGGAGCGAACAGGAUUAGAUACCCUGGUAGUCCAUGCCGUAAACGUUGGGCACUAGGUGUGGGGGACAUUCCACGUUUUCCGCGCCGUAGCUAACGCAUUAAGUGCCCCGCCUGGGGAGUACGGCCGCAAGGCUAAAACUCAAAGAAAUUGACGGGGGCCCGCACAAGCGGCGGAGCAUGCGGAUUAAUUCGAUGCAACGCGAAGAACCUUACCAAGGCUUGACAU